Molecule: ribosomal RNA, 253 nt
Filed under: uncultured Actinomycetales bacterium
Lineage: Bacteria; Bacillati; Actinomycetota; Actinomycetes; Actinomycetales
Description: partial 16S ribosomal RNA
Rfam family: Bacterial small subunit ribosomal RNA
Source: RNAcentral
UUUGGGGGUACUCGAGUGGCGAACGGGUGAGUAACACGUGGGUAACCUGCCCUUGACUUCGGGAUAACUUCAGGAAACUGGGGCUAAUACCGGAUAGGAAUCCUUGCUGCAUGGUGGGGGUUGGAAAGCUUCGGCGGUUUUGGAUGGACUCGCGGCUUAUCAGCUUGUUGGUGGGGUAGUGGCUUACCAAGGCUUUGACGGGUAGCCGGCCUGAGAGGGCGACCGGCCACAUUGGGACUGAGAUACGGCCCAG